Long non-coding RNA from Gopherus flavomarginatus (Mexican gopher tortoise), 445 nucleotides. RefSeq lists it as uncharacterized. The transcript is spliced from 2 exons. The record is from RefSeq and is a predicted model, not a curated record. Lineage: Eukaryota; Metazoa; Chordata; Testudines; Testudinidae.
AAGAUCAGUAAGCCAGGCUGUCACCUGACCAGAGGACCAAUCAGGGGACAGGAUACUUUCAAAUCUUGAGGGAGGGAAGUUUUUGUGUGUGCUGUUAGUGUUUGGUGGUUGUUCUCUCUGGGUUCUGAGAGUGACCAGACGUGCAACCAGGUUUCUCUCCAAUCUCUUUGAUACAGUCUCUUAUAUGUCCAGAAUAGUGAGUACUAGGUAGAUAAGGUGAGCUAAGCUUAUGUUUGUUUUCUUUAUUUGCAAAUGUGUAUUUGGCUGGAAGGAGUUCAAAUGUGUAUUUGGCUGGAAGGAUUUUAAUUUGUACUUGUAUACUUAGGCUGGGAGGGUAUUCCCAGUGUCUAUAGCUGUAAGACCCUGUAACAUAUUCCCUCUUAAAUUUACAAAGAUAAUUUUUACUGUUUUUUUUCUUUAAUUAAAAGCUUUUCUUGUUUAAAAA